RNAcentral lists this ribosomal RNA (347 nucleotides) under uncultured soil bacterium. Its description in RNAcentral is "bacterial SSU rRNA". It matches the Rfam family "Bacterial small subunit ribosomal RNA", at positions 27 to 373 of the family's 1533-position model. The record is from RNAcentral.
GGAUUGAACGCUGGCGGCAUGCCUUACACAUGCAAGUCGAACGGCAGCACGGGAGCAAUCCUGGUGGCGAGUGGCGAACGGGUGAGUAAUAUAUCGGAACGUGCCCAGUCGUGGGGGAUAACGCAGUGAAAGCUGUGCUAAUACCGCAUACGAUCUAUGGAUGAAAGCGGGGGACUCGCAAGAGCCUCGCGCGAUUGGAGCGGCCGAUAUCAGAUUAGCUAGUUGGUGGGGUAAAAGCCCACCGAAGGCGACGAUCUGUAGCUGGUCUGAGAGGACGACCAGCCACACUGGAACUGAGACACGGUCCAGACUCCUACGGGAGCAGCAGUGGGGGAAUUUGGACAAGU